RNAcentral lists this transfer RNA (88 nucleotides) under Candidatus Ishikawaella capsulata Mpkobe. RNAcentral's name for it is "tRNA-Leu". It matches the Rfam family "tRNA". From Rfam's summary of the family: Transfer RNA (tRNA) molecules are approximately 80 nucleotides in length. Their secondary structure includes four short double-helical elements and three loops (D, anti-codon, and T loops). Further hydrogen bonds mediate the characteristic L-shaped molecular structure. tRNAs have two regions of fundamental functional importance: the anti-codon, which is responsible for specific mRNA codon recognition, and the 3' end, to which the tRNAs corresponding amino acid is attached (by aminoacyl-tRNA synthetases). tRNAs cope with the degeneracy of the genetic code in two manners: having more than one tRNA (with a specific anti-codon) for a particular amino acid; and 'wobble' base-pairing, i.e. permitting non-standard base-pairing at the 3rd anti-codon position. Lineage: Bacteria; Pseudomonadati; Pseudomonadota; Gammaproteobacteria; Enterobacterales; Enterobacteriaceae. The record is from RNAcentral.
GCCGGAGUGGCGAAAUUGGUAUACGCAGUUGACUCAAAAUCAACCGUAGAAAUACAUGCCGGUUCAAAUCCGGCCUUCGGCACUAUUU